AUUGAACGCUGGCGGCAGGCUUAACACAUGCAAGUCGAGCGGUAACAGGAGAAGCUUGCUUCUCGCUGACGAGCGGCGGACGGGUGAGUAAUACUUAGGAAUCUGCCCAGUAGUGGGGGAUAGCUCGGGGAAACUCGAAUUAAUACCGCAUACACCCUACGGGGAAAAGGGGGCACUUGUGCUCUCGCUAUUGGAUGAGCCUAAGUCGGAUUAGCUAGUUGGUGGGGUAAAGGCCUACCAAGGCGACGAUCUGUAGCUGGUCUGAGAGGAUGAUCAGCCACACCGGGACUGAGACACGGCCCGGACUCCUACGGGAGGCAGCAGUGGGGAAUAUUGGACAAUGGGGGCAACCCUGAUCCAGCCAUGCCGCGUGUGUGAAGAAGGCCUUUUGGUUGUAAAGCACUUUAAGCAGUGAAGAAGACUCUAUGGUUAAUACCCAUAGACGAUGACAUUAGCUGCAGAAUAAGCACCGGCUAACUCUGUGCCAGCAGCCGCGGUAAUACAGAGGGUGCAAGCGUUAAUCGGAAUUACUGGGCGUAAAGCGAGCGUAGGUGGCUUGAUAAGUCAGAUGUGAAAUCCCCGGGCUUAACCUGGGAACUGCAUCUGAUACUGUUAGGCUAGAGUAGGUGAGAGGGAGGUAGAAUUUCAGGUGUAGCGGUGAAAUGCGUAGAGAUCUGAAGGAAUACCGAUGGCGAAGGCAGCCUCCUGGCAUCAUACUGACACUGAGGUUCGAAAGCGUGGGUAGCAAACAGGAUUAGAUACCCUGGUAGUCCACGCCGUAAACGAUGUCUACUAGUCGUUGGGGAACUUGAUUCCUUAGUGACGCAGCUAACGCAAUAAGUAGACCGCCUGGGGAGUACGGCCGCAAGGUUAAAACUCAAAUGAAUUGACGGGGGCCCGCACAAGCGGUGGAGCAUGUGGUUUAAUUCGAUGCAACGCGAAGAACCUUACCUGGUCUUGACAUAUCUAGAAUCCUGCAGAGAUGCGGGAGUGCCUUCGGGAAUUAGAAUACAGGUGCUGCAUGGCUGUCGUCAGCUCGUGUCGUGAGAUGUUGGGUUAAGUCCCGCAACGAGCGCAACCCUUUUCCUUAGUUACCAGCGGUUUGGCCGGGGACUCUAAGGAUACUGCCAGUGACAAACUGGAGGAAGGCGGGGACGACGUCAAGUCAUCAUGGCCCUUACGACCAGGGCUACACACGUGCUACAAUGGUAGGUACAGAGGGCAGCUACACAGCGAUGUGAUGCGAAUCUCAAAAAGCCUAUCGUAGUCCAGAUUGGAGUCUGCAACUCGACUCCAUGAAGUCGGAAUCGCUAGUAAUCGCGGAUCAGAAUGCCGCGGUGAAUACGUUCCCGGGCCUUGUACACACCGCCCGUCACACCAUGGGAGUUGAUUGCACCAGAAGUGGGUAGCCUAACUUUUAGAGGGCGCUCACCACGGUGUGGUCGAUGACUGGGGUG
Molecule: ribosomal RNA, 1457 nt
Filed under: Psychrobacter piechaudii
Lineage: Bacteria; Pseudomonadati; Pseudomonadota; Gammaproteobacteria; Moraxellales; Moraxellaceae
Description: bacterial SSU rRNA
Rfam family: Bacterial small subunit ribosomal RNA
Source: RNAcentral